Phrynosoma platyrhinos (Desert horned lizard) is the source of this 72-nucleotide non-coding RNA. The record is from the annotation of a GenBank genome assembly. NCBI's taxonomy places the organism in Eukaryota, Metazoa, Chordata, Lepidosauria, Squamata, Phrynosomatidae.
GCCAGCAUGGCAUAGUGGUUUGAGUGCUGGACUACAACUCUGGAGCCUGGGGUUCAAUUCCCAGCUCGGCCA